Molecule: ribosomal RNA, 111 nt
Filed under: Caerostris darwini
Lineage: Eukaryota; Metazoa; Arthropoda; Arachnida; Araneae; Araneidae
Source: RNAcentral
ACGGCCAUACCAUGCUGAAUAUACCGGUUCUCGUUAGAUCACCGAAGUCAAGCAUCAUUGGACGUGGUCAGUACUUGGGUGGGUGACCACUUGGGAACACCGCAUGCUGUU